Molecule: unclassified non-coding RNA, 382 nt
Filed under: Hevea brasiliensis (rubber tree)
Lineage: Eukaryota; Viridiplantae; Streptophyta; Magnoliopsida; Malpighiales; Euphorbiaceae
Source: RNAcentral
UAUCAAUUACCAAGCCGAAGUUUCACAGCUUCUCGUUGACGCAUCGCAUCGUGAUGACUUUAAGCUAGCAUGCGAGUGUGUCUCCGAUCCUUUUGUGGACGUGAACUUCAUCGGGACGGUGAGCUUGAAGGCGAAGAGGACAGAGGUUUUACUGCGUGAUGAGUUGCCACAUGAAGUUCGCGUCGAAUAUGAGGAGUUCAAGACCGAUGUCACCUCUCUGUUCCUCGCUGCUCAUGCCGGAAAUUUAACGCUCGUCAGGAAGUUGCUGAGCGUCGGAGCCAAUGUGAAUCAGAAAUUGUUUCGGGGCUAUGCCACAACUGCAGCAAUAAGGGAAGGGCAUUUGGAUGUAUUAGAGGUGCUUGUGAAAGCUGGGGCAUCUCAG